GUGGGAGGGGGCUUGCCCCCGAUGGCGGUGGGUCAGUCAGCUAUUCAUGACAUGACACACUGCUAUCGGGGGCAAGCCCCCUCCCAC
Molecule: unclassified non-coding RNA, 87 nt
Filed under: Pseudomonas orientalis
Lineage: Bacteria; Pseudomonadati; Pseudomonadota; Gammaproteobacteria; Pseudomonadales; Pseudomonadaceae
Source: RNAcentral